Small nuclear RNA from Sciurus vulgaris (Eurasian red squirrel), 104 nucleotides. The record is from Ensembl. Lineage: Eukaryota; Metazoa; Chordata; Mammalia; Rodentia; Sciuridae.
UUGUUCACGUCAACUGCAAAUACACUAAAACUGGAACAAUGCAAAUAUUAGCCCAGCCCCUGCUCAAGGAUGACAUGCAAAUUCGUGAAGUGCUCCAUUAUUUC